Molecule: ribosomal RNA, 1098 nt
Filed under: Triticum aestivum (bread wheat)
Lineage: Eukaryota; Viridiplantae; Streptophyta; Magnoliopsida; Poales; Poaceae
Description: partial small subunit ribosomal RNA
Source: RNAcentral
AUGAGGAACCAGCGGCUAGCUCCUACUUGCUCCUCCUCAAAGACCAACAACAGAAAGCAAGAAGAGCCACACCUCUCCGGGGCUUACAUUAGGAGCCUUGUGAAACAUCUUAGCUCCUCCUCCACAACGAGACCCAAAGACCAUCACAUCACCAUGGGCACCAAGCCGCAGCAAGAAGAGCAACAAGCGCCCCAAACCACACCACCAUCUCUACAACAGCAGCAGCCACACAAGAAGCAGGUGAGGAGGAGGCUGCACACAAGCAGGCCAUACCAGGAGAGGCUACUCAACAUGGCCGAGGCCAGGCGAGAGAUCGUCACGGCUCUCAAGAUCCACAGAGCCUCCAUGAGGGAAGCCAAGGAGCAGCAGCAACAUCAACAACUGGUGCAAGAAUUUCAACAUCAGCAGGAGGUCCAGGUAGUGCAAGAUCAUAGGCUAGCUUGUAGUGCACCCAGCAUGAGCUCAUAUGGUUCCUUCUCAGAUUACCCAUUUGCACACUCCACAGCAAACAACAGUAGUUGCUCAUUUUAUUCAUACCCACUCCUGCCUUACCACACACCACCAGCUGCACCCAUGGUUCCCAUGGUUGAUGCUCUAGAUCACUUGCUGCCGCUGCCUACGCAGCCACUUGGGCUUAACCUGAGCUUCCAUGGCUUCGUCGGGGGCGUUGCUGGCGAAGAUGCCAAGAACAACGCUGAUUCCUUUGAUCCUCCUCCGUUGCUCCAACAACCCUCGCCUGCAUCCUCCUACUCGGUCUACUCCUCUCCGCCGGCGACGACGAUGGCGAGCCAGGACGUGGCGUCCGCCACCGCCGAGAACACUUCACCGUCGCUACACCGUGUGCUGGAUGAGGAGGAGAUGGCGGCGAUCUACUCGGUUGGGGAGCGGCAUGAUAUCGAGUGGAGCGACACGCUGAACCUGGCCACGUCGGCAUGGUGGAGCACGCUCCUCGACGACGGCGCUGCGGCGGCGCACCAGACAGACUCAGUGGACGUCCCGGGGAUGCAUCUGGGUGAUGUGUACUACGGCGAAGACGUCUCCUUCCCAUGUAUGGAGAUAGGAGAGAUGGGAGGAUGGGACGAGGGGUGGCUCUCAUGA